AGGUAGUUCAUUAAAUAAAAAUUCUAAGAUAAUGUACUACUCACAUACUUUUGAUAGGAGUAAAUUACUUUCAUGACCCUCAUAGUCCAGGUUCUAAUACACUCUCGAAGGCGCAGGAUUUGAAACCAUUGAUGUCCUCGACGUGCUCUACGGUGGCGACGACAGUCCUUGGUGACCUGGCCCUGCUGCUGGCUCUUCCUAGGCGGUAGAUUUGUUGGCUGCUGGUAUGUCAGCCAUGACGGAAUUGAGCUCUCUGGUCACUCUCCUCUCCCCCUUGUGGUUAACCUACACCUCUUUACCAUCCAGUAUAUCCAAUAAAUAAAUGGAAUCACAUAAGAUUCUGCUGUUACAAUUAAUCAUCUGUCAAGCAUGUGUAAUAAUAUGUCAUGGACAUAAAAUUGUUGAUUAAGGUUGUAGUAAUCUGGUCUUAUAAGGGUGUGAAUAUAAAUUCAAACUCUAAAAAGUACAUUUAUUAAGAGGACUUUAUCUUAAACAAUUUAAACCAAAAAAAUAACACCUUAUCUAAUAUAGCUUGAGAUAUCGUGGUUUUAUACCCAGAAGCAAGUUCCUCCUUGUUAGUGUUAUGAGCUGUGUUCAAGCAAGAUCAGCUGAAACUUGAGCAACAAGGCUCGAGACUUGCAGAAGAAACAAAACAGUUUUCAAGAACAAAAUUAAGCUUCUAGGAACUGAACAAUGAAAGCAAAAGAGAGAGUA
RNAcentral lists this long non-coding RNA (714 nucleotides) under Gossypium raimondii (Peruvian cotton). RNAcentral's name for it is "long non-coding RNA (GRAI_LNC005701)". The record is from RNAcentral. Lineage: Eukaryota; Viridiplantae; Streptophyta; Magnoliopsida; Malvales; Malvaceae.